This 207-nucleotide ribosomal RNA is filed under the name uncultured bacterium. RNAcentral describes it as "partial 16S ribosomal RNA". It matches the Rfam family "Bacterial small subunit ribosomal RNA", at positions 568 to 774 of the family's 1533-position model. The record is from RNAcentral.
CACGUAGGCGGACUGGUCAGUUGGGGGUGAAAUCCCAGGGCUCAACCCUGGAACUGCCUCCAAUACUGCCAGUCUUGAGUCCGAGAGAGGUGAGUGGAAUUCCUAGUGUAGAGGUGAAAUUCGUAAAUAUUAGGAAGAACACCAGUGGCGAAGGCGGCUCACUGGCUCGGUACUGACGCUGAGGUGCGAAAGCGUGGGGAGCAAACA